Callorhinus ursinus (northern fur seal) is the source of this 645-nucleotide non-coding RNA. The record is from RefSeq and is a predicted model, not a curated record. NCBI's taxonomy places the organism in Eukaryota, Metazoa, Chordata, Mammalia, Carnivora, Otariidae.
GGCUGUAGGGGCCGGGACCGCCCCAGCCCGAAGACGGUUGGACCCGCAAAACUCUGUCCGUACCUCAGCCGGCCUCCUUUAUUGGGGGGCCCAGGGGGUUCCCCGCUUUUCCUAUCACUGCACCUCCUGCCGCCGCAAAGUAACUGAUGCUUAUAAAAAGUUGUAUUGAAGAGUUGACUGCAGCCCAGAAUCGAUCAACAAGAGACCAGCCUCUCUAGGUGCCUGUGAUGAAUGACACAUGGAUCAACCCGUAGUCUUCAGAGUCUGUCAUGUGAAGCCAAUGAAAGAUAUCUGCUAGUAACCAAAUGAUGAUCAUGUAAAAAGUCUUUCUGUCCCUUCUCAAGGCAAUGCCUUCUACUUGACAUGAUCAGAUGGGAAAAUUGAUGGAUAAUCACAAGAAAAAACUUGAAAUGACUUUUUAAAGGUACCAGUGGAAGACCUCUGUAUUUAUUACAAGUUAUAACUCUGAGGAACAAUUUCUGUAUGGGAUUUGGUAGAUGACUUGUGAUGAAUUGUGAUUUUGUCUUCAUUUUUAUUUGAAGAGCAAUAUAGAUCUAAAAGGAUCAUAUUCAGAAUAGGUAACAUCCGAUAUGAAAAAAACUAUCAGUCCUUUAGAAUUACAUAAAGAAUACAAUAAAUUAUAGC